This 320-nucleotide ribosomal RNA is filed under the name uncultured eukaryote. Its description in RNAcentral is "partial 18S ribosomal RNA". It matches the Rfam family "Eukaryotic small subunit ribosomal RNA", at positions 1470 to 1796 of the family's 1831-position model. The record is from RNAcentral.
CCCUUAGAUGUUCUGGGCUGCACGCGCGCUACACUGACAUACUCAGCAAGUUUCCUUUCCCGAAAGGGUUGGGUAAUCUUGUUAGUGUAUGUCGUGAUGGGGAUAGAAUAUUGUAAUUAUUGCUCUUUAACGAGGAAUUCCUAGUAAGCGCAAGUCAACAGCUUGCGCUGAUUACGUCCCUGCCCUUUGUACACACCGCCCGUCGCUCCUACCGAGUGGGUGAUCCGGUGAACUAUUCGGACUCCGGUUAUUCCAGCAUUUGGUUUUGCUGGGGAAAGUUUCGUGAACCUUAUCACUUGGAGGAAGGAGAAGUCGUAACA